AUUGAACGCUGGCGGCAGGCCUAACACAUGCAAGUCGUGCAAGCGGCGGACGGGUGAGUAAUGUAUGGGGAUCUUCCUGAUGACGGGGGAUAACUACUGGAGACGGUAGCUAAUACCGCAUACCGUCAGAUGCACCCAUAUGGGAUUAGCUUGUAGGUGAGGUAACGGCUCACCUAGGCGACGAGCCCUAGCUGGUCUGAGAGGAUGAUGCGCAACACUGGGACUGAGAAACGGCCCAGCCGCCUACGGGAGGCAGCAGUGGGGCAUAUUGCACAAUGGGUGGAAGCCUGAUGCAGCCAUGCCGCGUGUAUGAAGAAGGCCUUAGGGUUGUAAAGUACUUUCAGUCGGGAGGCGUUACCGACAGAAGAAGCACCGGCUAACUCCGUGCCAGCAGCCGCGGUAAUAC
RNAcentral lists this ribosomal RNA (406 nucleotides) under uncultured bacterium. RNAcentral's name for it is "partial 16S ribosomal RNA". It matches the Rfam family "Bacterial small subunit ribosomal RNA", at positions 30 to 526 of the family's 1533-position model. The record is from RNAcentral.